RNAcentral lists this small RNA (84 nucleotides) under Vulpes vulpes (red fox). RNAcentral's name for it is "Y RNA (ENSVVUG00000013432.1)". RNAcentral also lists the same sequence under 1 other name. Lineage: Eukaryota; Metazoa; Chordata; Mammalia; Carnivora; Canidae. The record is from RNAcentral.
CCAAGUACAGUGGUGUUUAAAAUUAAUUGAUCAUAAUCAGUUAUGGAUUUCUUUAUUUCUUCCUAAUUAUCACUGCUUCAUUUG